Molecule: ribosomal RNA, 463 nt
Filed under: uncultured bacterium
Lineage: Bacteria
Description: bacterial SSU rRNA
Rfam family: Bacterial small subunit ribosomal RNA
Source: RNAcentral
AACACAUGCAAGUCGAACGGCAGCACGGGGGCAACCCUGGUGGCGAGUGGCGAACGGGUGAGUAAUGCAUCGGAACGUGCCCAUCGAUGGGGGAUAACUGCGCGAAAGCGUUGCUAAUACCGCAUACGACCUACGGGUGAAAGCAGGGGACCGCAAGGCCUUGCGUCGAUGGAGCGGCCGAUGCCGGAUUAGCUAGUUGGUGAGGUAAAGGCUCACCAAGGCGACGAUCCGUAGCUGGUCUGAGAGGACGACCCAGCCACACUGGGACUGAGACACGGCCCAGACUCCUACGGGAGGCAGCAGUGGGGAAUCUUGGACAAUGGGCGAAAGCCUGAUCCAGCAAUGCCGCAUGUGGGAAGAAGGCCUUCGGGUUGUAAACCACUUUUGGCGGGAAAGAAAUGGUCUGUGCUAAUACCACGGAUUGAUGACGGUACCCGCAGAAUAAGCACCGGCUAACUACGUG